GGGCGCGUAGCUCAGCUGGAAGAGCACUACGGUGACAUCGUAGGGGUCACAGGUUCAAGCCCUGUCGCGCCCACCA
Molecule: transfer RNA, 76 nt
Filed under: Alphaproteobacteria bacterium
Lineage: Bacteria; Pseudomonadati; Pseudomonadota; Alphaproteobacteria
Also listed under: 1 other name
Description: tRNA-Val
Rfam family: tRNA
About the family: Transfer RNA (tRNA) molecules are approximately 80 nucleotides in length.
Source: RNAcentral